GCCGAGGUGGUGGAAUUAGGUAGACACGCUGCUUUGAGGGGGCAGUGAGCGCAAGCUCGUAGGGGUUCGAGUCCCCUCCUCGGCACCA
Molecule: transfer RNA, 88 nt
Filed under: Chloroflexota bacterium
Lineage: Bacteria; Bacillati; Chloroflexota
Also listed under: 1 other name
Description: Chloroflexi bacterium tRNA-Leu
Rfam family: tRNA
About the family: Transfer RNA (tRNA) molecules are approximately 80 nucleotides in length. Their secondary structure includes four short double-helical elements and three loops (D, anti-codon, and T loops).
Source: RNAcentral